RNAcentral lists this ribosomal RNA (621 nucleotides) under Vibrio sp. KR08-38. RNAcentral describes it as "partial 16S ribosomal RNA". It matches the Rfam family "Bacterial small subunit ribosomal RNA", at positions 145 to 761 of the family's 1533-position model. The record is from RNAcentral. Lineage: Bacteria; Pseudomonadati; Pseudomonadota; Gammaproteobacteria; Vibrionales; Vibrionaceae.
AACCAUUGGAAACGAUGGCUAAUACCGCAUAAUGCCUUCGGGCCANAGAGGGGGACCUUCGGGCCUCUCGCGUCAGGAUAUGCCCAGGUGGGAUUAGCUAGUUGGUGAGGUAAUGGCUCACCAAGGCGACGAUCCCUAGCUGGUCUGAGAGGAUGAUCAGCCACACUGGAACUGAGACACGGUCCAGACUCCUACGGGAGGCAGCAGUGGGGAAUAUUGCACAAUGGGCGCAAGCCUGAUGCAGCCAUGCCGCGUGUGUGAAGAAGGCCUUCGGGUUGUAAAGCACUUUCAGCAGUGAGGAAGGCGGGUACGUUAAUAGCGUGCUCGUUUGACGUUAGCUGCAGAAGAAGCACCGGCUAACUCCGUGCCAGCAGCCGCGGUAAUACGGAGGGUGCGAGCGUUAAUCGGAAUUACUGGGCGNAAAGCGCAUGCAGGUGGUUCGUUAAGUCAGAUGUGAAAGCCCGGGGCUCAACCUCGGAACUGCAUUUGAAACUGGCGGACUANAGNACUGNANAGGGGGGUANAAUUUCNGGUGUANCGGUGAAAUGCGUAGAGAUCUGAAGGAAUANCGGUGGCGAANGCGGNCCCCUGGACNGAUACUGACACUCANAUGCGAAAGCG